RNAcentral lists this ribosomal RNA (371 nucleotides) under uncultured organism. Its description in RNAcentral is "bacterial SSU rRNA". It matches the Rfam family "Bacterial small subunit ribosomal RNA", at positions 526 to 896 of the family's 1533-position model. The record is from RNAcentral.
CGGAGGGUGCAAGCGUUAUCCGGAUUCACUGGGUUUAAAGGGUGCGUAGGCGGCCUGAUAAGUCAGUGGUGAAAGCUUCCAGCUUAACUGGGAAACUGCCAUUGAAACUGUCAGGCUUGAGUACAAUUGAAGUGGGCGGAAUACAUCAUGUAGCGGUGAAAUGCUUAGAUAUGAUGUAGAACACCGAUUGCGAAGGCAGCUCACUAAAUUGCAACUGACGCUGAGGCACGAAAGCGUGGGUAGCGAACAGGAUUAGAUACCCUGGUAGUCCACGCCCUAAACGAUGAAUACUCGAUGUAUGGAGCAUUUGGCUCUAUGCGUCCAAGCGAAAGCGUUAAGUAUUCCACCUGGGGAGUACGGCCGCAAGGUUA